UGAUUCCUACGGGGGGCAGCAGUGGGGAAUAUUGGGCAAUGGGCGCAAGCCUGACCCAGCAACGCCGCGUGAAGGAAGAAGGCUUUCGGGUUGUAAACUUCUUUUAUCAGGGACGAAACAAAUGACGGUACCUGAUGAAUAAGCCACGGCUAACUACGUGCCAGCAGCCGCGGUAAUACGUAGGUGGCAAGCGUUAUCCGGAAUUACUGGGUGUAAAGGGAGCGUAGGCGGGACUGCAAGUUGGGUGU
This 248-nucleotide ribosomal RNA is filed under the name uncultured bacterium. RNAcentral describes it as "partial 16S ribosomal RNA". It matches the Rfam family "Bacterial small subunit ribosomal RNA", at positions 333 to 595 of the family's 1533-position model. The record is from RNAcentral.